Molecule: long non-coding RNA, 5194 nt
Organism: Calidris pugnax (ruff)
Lineage: Eukaryota; Metazoa; Chordata; Aves; Charadriiformes; Scolopacidae
Exons: 2
Source: RefSeq, a predicted model, not a curated record
CUUUGCUCUUGACACCUUCCAUCCUUUUGGAAAAAUUCCCCUUUUUUUUAAGCUGUCUUGUCACUUGUCAUGAAAUGCUUAGGCUGAACCAUGUUACAUUUCCAUCCCUAGCCAUUAGCUAGUAAUUACUUGCUUCUUGAUAUGCUUUAUAUCUUGGAUUGAAUUGUGCGGAAUAGGCCUAAUUCCAGUCUCCCUAGGAUAUUGUCUUCUGUAUCACUGAGGAGACCUAUCUUCAUGCCAGCACAACUGAGAUCUGGAAUCUUAUCCUAGCUCCCUUAUGUGUUGGAGUCCCCAGCUAGGAGUUGUGCUUACGGCAGAGAGCACUAAUGACAGAGGAGUAGAAUACAGUGAGCCAAAAUGCUAGCAUAAGGGGUGGAUUUUUAAAAAAUAUUUGUGAGCAACAAAUUGAGGGUUUUCUUAGCAAAUUGUGUUGUAGACAUUCAUUUUCCCCUCUUAUAGCAUAUUUUGAUUAAGUAGAAGUGCAACACUAGCCUAAGGUAAAUUAGGAAAUCAGUCCUUUGGAUGCAAUUCCUUGUUGUGUUUUUCUUUCCAUUCCUGAUGAACAACAUUUUGAUGUUGCUGAAAUACCUACUGCCUGAUGAUUUCAAUCCCAUUCAUGCAGCAUAACUUAGGAAGUAGAUAUCAAACUUUUGAAAGAUCUCAUCUGCUUCCUCAGUCACCAGUGACCAAGUAGUAACACCUGUAUAUGGGAAGGUAGGGGGGGUCAUGUACUGAGGGAGGGGAAUCCGUUUUAUCUUCAGAAAUGUUAUCAAUAGAAUGACUUAGAUUUAAUGUUUUAGACAUGGUAUCUUGCAUAAUGACCCCAUAUGGAUCAGGAAGCCUAAAAAAACACCGGAAAAAAAUGAUAAGAUAUAAUAGCUUUUGUUUCAAGAAAACUUUUGGCCUGUAGCGGUACAAGCAUGGUGCAACCCAUUGCUGUGAAUGCGUAUGGCUAGGGAGCUGCUGCUCUUCCAUCACCCACCCCCUGUUAUGAACCCAUCUGUUGGGUAAGAAAUCCCUUAGUGUGUCAUCCAACAGUGUCGUGCAAACUGGAGGGCAGAAGGGAGGCAGAGAAGGAGGAGGGAAGAUACAUAAGGAUAAGUGGGCCAAGAGGUAAGUAUUUGUGGAGUUACCAAGAGCAUAGUUGGAGAUAGGCUGGGAGGAGGCCACUGAGGCAGCAGCACAGGGUCUGGAGUGCCAGGAAGAGGGAAGUGGAGCUGGGAAACGAGGGUGAAGUACCAGGCAGGAUGCAUCCAGCAGGGAAGGACCCUAUGGUUUCAUGACUUAUGCAUCUCAAGUUUGCACGUUGCGUGGUUGGGGGAGACACCUGAGGAAUUCCAUGUGGUGUGGAGUUUAUGGAAGGAGCAGGUUGUUGGACUGACAUCCGCAGGUCUAAGGAAAAUCUUCUUUUCAAAAAGGGAAAAGGAAUGGCUCCCAUUAGAUGAGGUUCAGGCCAUUAAUGGUUCUGUAGUACUGCUGCUGCACGGAACCCACAGGAUUACCAGCUGCAUGUUUUUGAUAGAACCAGAGUCAUCCUGGUUUCUGUUUCUGCCAUCUUUCCCUGAGCGACUACAUGGAAUCUCUCUUCCCAGUCAUAUUGGAAGCCAUUUCCUUCUACCUCAAGCAUAAUCUGAAUCAUGUGUGUUAAGACAGUUACCAUAAUAAGAUGUUACCAACUUGCCUUUUUCUUGCUUGUAAACUAGAUAAAAAGAGAUUUGGGAGUCCUUUGUGGUGAUAAUAAGGUCUGUUACCUUCAGUCUCAUCAGUGAAUCUUCUUGUACUUGGAUCAGGUGUAAUCAGAGUUCUUACAUGGUCUUCUGAUUGGCAUCAUGUUCCUCUUCUUACUCCUUUUGAUUUUUCUCUUAGAAAUGUAUUUAUUUAAGAUAAAAAAGCCUUUUAGACUACAGCAAGAUUUGUGAAUAGCAUUUGCCUGCUUUCAAAUCAGCAUUUUCCCCCUGCCCCCAUUCAGAGCAUGUAAACUGAUUUUUCAGUGUCUAUGGUUCUAAUCUCCGCAUAAGUAACAUAGACUUUUAGAUUCUUUUCUCAAGGGAAGCACAAAGCUAUCAAGGUCCUGAUGGAGCGUUAGUACUUCUGGAAAGCAAAAAUGCAUGUUUGUAAAAUCCUGAAAGAUAAUUUAUUUUUCUAACAGAUAUUACUGGUUUCAAAUUGUAGUGAUGCAAAUAUUAUAGCAAAGAGAAUCAAAAUUGAAAGUGGCAAUAUACAAAUGUUUAACAAUACAGAUUGGACGUCCAGGGUGAAGGAAAUGAAAACAUAAGCAUAUAACACAAAGAGUAAAACCAAAAUGGAUUUCUAGAAUUUGUCAUUAGUCAGGGGCUUUGCUACUCCACUGGAAGGAUGCUUCUUGAGUUGAGUGGGAUGUUGAAGAUGGCUACUUAACCAUGCUAACUUGGGGACAUUUUCAACAAAAAAAAAUAAUCAUAAUAUUAAGGAGUGAGGGCUUCAUUUGCAGUUUUUGAGAGUCAUGUGGUUUGAGAUUUCAGUCUUUACAUAAAGAACAUUUCAUUCAAAAGGCAAGAAAAAUAUGGAGACUAGCUGUUAGACCGUUAAUAGUGCUGGAUACCCCUUGUUACUCAGAGAUUACUAUGGUAAGAGUGCUAGAAAAUACCUUUUAAGAUAAAAGAUAACACUAAAAAUGUCACUUCUGGCUUCUUUGCCAAAUAUUCUCAUGCUUGAACUAGAAAACUUCCCUUUUUAGCCUGUACUCAAUAACGCGAUAGGGUGCAAUUACCUUAACAUGGUAUAAUGUCAUCAGCUGAGCUGCUUCCUAAGUGAAAGGUGCUGACCUGAGUCAUCUUCACUGAAACUUCCCUUUCAGUUGGGAUGGGAAAUGAUGGGCAGUGCUCAUCACCAGUUAAAACAACUCAAGGAACAAGUCAGAACUCAUUUAGCCCAUCAUACUGCUGAACCUAGUGUGUACCCGUAAGAUAUCAAACAGACUUAAACCAGCAGAUUGUGGAUAGCUGGCUAAUUGAAGAGCUCUAAAAUUGGUAAAUCUGUAAUUUGUUCUUUGAGCUGAAUGAGAUGCUGAAUUCAGGUUGUAGAUUUCUUGUAAAGAUCUUGCAUCAUUGCAAGCACACUGUUAGACUAGGAUAAGAAUCUUCUUGGUGACAAUGGCUGAUGUCUAAAAGUGGAGAACAAGGUCUGAUACGAUAGUGAGUUGGGAACUAGACAUCAGUCAUUUUCUGUCACUCCUUUGCUUUGUUGACUUGGACAAAUCUACUUGAACAUCUCUGCUUCAUUUUCCUUAUUCAGAACAUUAGAUUGAUAUUUCCAGAAAAGCGUGUUGCCAUGCUUAAUUGCAAUAUAUUUUUUCAUCUUGGAAGAUGAAAAGCAGUGUUCAAGAAAAACUGUGUGGUCUUGCUUCUCUUGUUCCUCCUUAAUAUGCUGUCAUGUACCUAAUGAGAGAAUUCCUAGCUCAGCCAAAGGUGUGCCCUCACUUCUUAAGCUUCACGACUUCUGUCCAUGCAGAAUCAUACCAGCGUAACUGUACAAUAAUAGCUAUAUUGUUAAUUGCUUAGCUGGCAGGGGAGGAAGGAAUGAACUCCAGCUUACACCAACAGUUUACUGGUAAAACCUACCUUGUGCUGCUGUAUUCAUAUGUGCAACUGCACUCAGUUUGGUGUCCAGUUGGUAACUUUCAGAGUAUAUGCUCAUCAAGUGCAAUUGCUUCUGUAAGUAGCUUAAGUUAUGUCUCACUUUGUUCCGUGAAUGUGAAGCUCAUGUGGAUACUGUAUUACCUGUGGCAAUGCAGACAGUCCUUCAUUAAUAAUACAAGAACACUCUGGGUUUUCUGGUCCUGAGAAGAGAAGGAGCAGUGCAAGGACACUGCCAAAUUACUGCAGGAAUAAAGAUGCUUGUUUAGAUGUUCCAAAAGACUUCUAGAAACUCACUAUAGCAAAGAGUAUCAAAAGUGCUGGACAAAGGAGAGAACUAGCAACUGUCACACCAGCUGAAGAACAGAAUGUGUGCACCUGGGGCUGCUCUUCUGACCUGUUAUGGUUGUGCAGAGCUGUAUGCCAGGAUGGGCAUGUCACAGCAGGGAACACUGGGCACAUCACAGCACCAUUCUGAAGGAGCCGUGAAAGCGCAGGCUGACAAUGAGCUUGUGGAGACGAGGUCAGAAGAUUCUGAUACUGCAGAGAGCUGGUGGCUCCUUGAAACUCAACCUAACCGACCUCAGAUGAAUCCAGAAAUGGUAUCACCCUGGGAGAAAGAAUGGAGCUCAGAGGCUUCAGAUGGAGAAUUUGGAGAAGCGCCUUCUUCACACCUGUGGAAAACUUUGCAUGAGAGAAAGAAAGGAUAAUGUGUUCUCCAAAUUUUUCAAGAGCACCAAACCAAGAUUUCUAUGAAACAAUGCAGUCGGGGGGAAUGCCUGCUUGAAGAAAGGCAGAAGAACGGGAGUGGGACACAAGAAUGUGGAUGAAGAACUUAAGUAUCUCUAGAGAGGGCAAACGUAGAUUCAACAAAGCUUUAUGAGACAAAACCUCCUGAGAUGUAUGCUCCAACAGGUCAGCUCUGCAUCCCGCUGCCCUCAUGGUGCUUUCCCAUGUAUCUGCUGGCCAAGUGACCAGGGUAGCAUGCCACAAUUUCUCUUCUGCACAGUCCCAGUGGAAACCUCAGAAUUGGGUAGAAACAAGAAAUUUCCCCUGGUUUUCUAGCCUGAUUAUCUUGAGUAACAAGACAUGGGAAAUCAUGGCAUGCCUCUUUUUGUCUGCUGGUUUGCAUACCUCUAGAGAGUUCUCUCUCUUCCCCCUCUUACUUUUGGACAACUUUUGGCCAAUUUCAAGAUAAAGAUCAUAGAUGAAUAGGAAUCUCAAAGCCUAUAAAGUUUUUACAACAUUUGGGAAGAGAGAUGAUCCAGCAGAUGAUAGAAUCCAGACAGGAAAGAGGCCUUUUAGAGAUCCAAACCAGGAAGAUGGCAUUAACUGAAGUUCAUAACUGGUUUUUAUGCAGAAGUCAAUCAGACACAAGAAAUGAAGUUAUAAGAAACCAUGGUCUGUUCUUUGUGGUGCUCACAGACCAACUGCUUAAGUGACUGUAAUUGUUUUGAGAAGUGUUUUUUAUCACUUCUUAAUAAAGUUGUUACAUAUAUUAUGUGUAUUAUUUGUCUCAUAACACCCGAAUUUCUACUCUGAUAUCAGGGAAAUAAAACGGGCUAACCAUUAAUUUAAAA